This is a non-coding RNA of Callorhinus ursinus (northern fur seal), 123 nucleotides long. Lineage: Eukaryota; Metazoa; Chordata; Mammalia; Carnivora; Otariidae. The record is from RefSeq and is a predicted model, not a curated record.
UUUUUUAAGUUUUAUUUACUUAUGUGAUCUCUACACCCUACGUGGGGCUCGAACUCACGACCCUGACAUGAAGAGUUGCACGCUCCUCCGACUGCGCCAGCCAGGCGCCCCUAGAAAAAUACA